GGUUAAGCGACUAAGCGUACACGGUGGAUGCCUAGGCAAUCAGAGGCGAUGAAGGACGUGCUAAUCUGCGAUAAGCGUCGGUAAGGUGAUAUGAACCGUUACAACCGACGAUUUCCGAAUGGGGAAACCCAGUGCAACUCGUUGCACUAUCGUUUGAUGAAUACAUAGUCAAACGAAGCGAACCGGGGGAACUGAAACAUCUCAGUACCCCGAGGAAAAGAAAUCAACCGAGAUUCCCCUAGUAGCGGCGAGCGAACGGGGAGCAGCCCAGAGUCUUAAUCAGCAUUAGCAUCAGGAGAACGGUCUGGAAAG
Molecule: ribosomal RNA, 312 nt
Filed under: Providencia rettgeri
Lineage: Bacteria; Pseudomonadati; Pseudomonadota; Gammaproteobacteria; Enterobacterales; Morganellaceae
Description: partial 23S ribosomal RNA
Rfam family: Bacterial large subunit ribosomal RNA
Source: RNAcentral